GCAGCUGUGACCUGAGAUUGCUGCAAUUUUCAUAGAAUAUAAGGGCUGAAAAGGACCACAGGAGGUCAUCUAGUUCAAUCCCCUGCUCAAAGCAGGAUCAGUCGCCAACUAAAUC
Molecule: non-coding RNA, 115 nt
Organism: Chelonoidis abingdonii (Abingdon island giant tortoise)
Lineage: Eukaryota; Metazoa; Chordata; Testudines; Testudinidae
Source: RefSeq, a predicted model, not a curated record